AGAGUUUGAUCCUGGCUCAAGACGAACGCUGGCGGCGCGCCUAACACAUGCAAGUCGAACGAGCGAGAGAGAGCCUGCUUUCUCGAGCGAGUGGCGAACGGGUGAGUAACGCGUGAGGAACCUGCCUCAAAGAGGGGGACAACAGUUGGAAACGACUGCUAAUACCGCAUAAGCCCACGACCCGGCAUCGGGUAGAGGGAAAAGGAGCAAUCCGCUUUGAGAUGGCCUCGCGUCUGAUUAGCUAGUUGGUGAGGUAACGGCCCACCAAGGCGACGAUCGGUAGCCGGACUGAGAGGUUGAACGGCCACAUUGGGACUGAGACACGGCCCAGACUCCUACGGGAGGCAGCAGUGGGGAAUAUUGCACAAUGGGGGAAACCCUGAUGCAGCGACGCCGCGUGGAGGAAGAAGGUCUUCGGAUUGUAAACUCCUGUUGUUGAGGAAGAUAAUGACGGUACUCAACAAGGAAGUGACGGCUAACUACGUGCCAGCAGCCGCGGUAAAACGUAGGUCACAAGCGUUGUCCGGAAUUACUGGGUGUAAAGGGAGCGCAGGCGGGAAGACAAGUUGGAAGUGAAAUCCAUGGGCUCAACCCAUGAACUGCUUUCAAAACUGUUUUUCUUGAGUAGUGCAGAGGUAGGCGGAAUUCCCGGUGUAGCGGUGGAAUGCGUAGAUAUCGGGAGGAACACCAGUGGCGAAGGCGGCCUACUGGGCACCAACUGACGCUGAGGCUCGAAAGUGUGGGUAGCAAACAGGAUUAGAUACCCUGGUAGUCCACACUGUAAA
This 785-nucleotide ribosomal RNA is filed under the name uncultured bacterium. RNAcentral's name for it is "bacterial SSU rRNA". It matches the Rfam family "Bacterial small subunit ribosomal RNA", at positions 8 to 806 of the family's 1533-position model. The record is from RNAcentral.